RNAcentral lists this ribosomal RNA (279 nucleotides) under uncultured bacterium. Its description in RNAcentral is "partial 16S ribosomal RNA". It matches the Rfam family "Bacterial small subunit ribosomal RNA", at positions 506 to 784 of the family's 1533-position model. The record is from RNAcentral.
UGCCAGCCGCCGCGGUACUACUGAUUUUGCAAUCGUUAUCCGUAAUCAUUGGGUUUAAAGGGUCCGUAGGCGGAUAAUUAAGUCAGGGGUGAAAGUCUGCAGCUCAACUGUAGGACUGCCCUUGAUACUGGUUAUCUUGAAUCGUUGUGAAGUGGCUAGAAUAUGUAGUGUAGCGGUGAAAUGCAUAGAUAUUACAUAGAAUACCGAUUGCGAAGGCAGGUCACUAACAACGUAUUGACGCUGAGGGACGAAAGCGUGGGGAGCGAACAGGAUUAGAUA